UUAAGCAUAUUAAUAAGCGGAAGAAACGAAACUAACAAGGAUACUGUUGGUAAUGGCGAAUGAACACUGUUUUACCACUAUCGAACCUCACAUCAAUUCGAUGUGUGGAGUGUGAUAUUGGUGUGUCACAAAGGGAUUUAUUCAAUAAAUGAAAGUUUGAUUGAUUGCAACUUGUCAUAGAGGGUGAAAGUCCCGUAUCAUUUAUUGAUUGAAAAUCACUUGUGUCACGUAUGAGUAAAGUUGUUUCGAAUUGCAGCUCGAAUGUACGUGGUGAACUCCAUGUAAGGUUGAAUAUUGUCGCGAGACCGAUAGAAGACAAGUACCGUGAGGGAAAGUUGAAAAGUACUCUGAAAAGAGAGUGAACAAGCCUGUGCAACUGUACAUUGCAAAGCGAAUGAUAGAAAGUGUGGGCUCAUUUUACAAUUACUCAUUUGUCACUAUAUGAUUCUUUCAUGAAUGGCGUUGGGUAGAUUGUUAUACUCUUGGGUCAUGUUGAUGCAGCACUUGUCAAUUGUGAUUGUUAAUGUGAGAAUAAGUAUUUUUACAAUAUUUGUCGUUCAUUAUGUUUGCGCAAUUUGCGCAAAAACAAAACUGGCUAGUGUUUAUCGGCUACUUGAUAUAUUGUUGAAUUCUGACGCAGGACUUUUCUGUGAACAGAAUGAUUAAGUUUGGUUGGUGCAUGAACUAUACAAUCUGUCAUCUGAACCGUCUUGAAACACGGACUAAGGAGUUCAACUUGAGCGCAAGUCGACUACGUGAAUAAAGUUUGGGGCAAAGUGAAAGCAAUUUUAUUGAUGUUAACGAAUGUAAAUUUUUACAAACGAUUAGCACAUGAUCUGAGUGGCAAUUUUUUUAUUGUCUACUGCAACAGAGCGCUUUGGUUGUGACCCGAAAGAUGU
Molecule: ribosomal RNA, 899 nt
Filed under: Rhadinorhynchus johnstoni
Lineage: Eukaryota; Metazoa; Acanthocephala; Palaeacanthocephala; Echinorhynchida; Rhadinorhynchidae
Description: partial large subunit ribosomal RNA
Rfam family: Eukaryotic large subunit ribosomal RNA
Source: RNAcentral